This 345-nucleotide long non-coding RNA is filed under the name Manacus vitellinus (golden-collared manakin). RNAcentral describes it as "lncRNA (ENSMVIG00005002497.1)". Lineage: Eukaryota; Metazoa; Chordata; Aves; Passeriformes; Pipridae. The record is from RNAcentral.
AAUUCCCUCCUUCCCUGGGCACCUGUGGCCGGAAUUCCCUCCUUCCCUGGGCCAGGAGCAUCCAGGGGCUGCCCAGGGGGAUCCUCUGCAGCCUCUCCCUCCCAACCUCCUGCUCUUCCCUCUUGCAGGGGCCCGGCAGGAGCUGACCACCGUGUACGCCCAGGUGAACCCCUGCCAGAACGUCCCGAACGCGACAAGAGACAACCCGAGGGGGGAGAACUCCACAACCAUCUACGCCACGGUCAAGGCUCCAGCACAGAGCUCGUGUCCCUUUGCCCCUGCAGACGGACGACGAGAAGAUGGGCAGCACCGUGCUGGGGGGGCAGGAGGUGGAGGAGAAGAGCA